UCGGAAUUACUGGGCGUAAAGCGCACGCAGGCGGUCUGUUAAGCUAGAUGUGAAAGCCCCGCGCUCAACGUGGGAGGGUCAUUUAGAACUGGCAGACUAGAGUCUUGGAGAGGGGAGUGGAAUUCCAGGUGUAGCGGUGAAAUGCGUAGAGAUCUGGAGGAACAUCAAUGGCGAAGGCAACUCCCUGGCCAAAGACUGACGCUCAUGUGCGAAAGUGUGGGUAGCGAACAGGAUUAGAUACCCUGGUAGUCCACACCGUAAACGCUGUCUACUAGCUGUUUGUGAAUUUAAUUCGUGAGUAGCGAAGCUAACGCGAUAAGUAGACCGCCUGGGGAGUACGGCCGCAAGGUUAAAACUCAAAGGAAUUGACGGGGGCCCGCACAAGCGGCGGAGCAUGCGGCUUAAUUCGAUGCAACGCGAAGAACCUUACCUAGGCUUGACAGUUGGGGAAAUCUGGCAGAGAUGCCAAGUCCGUAAGGGCCCCAAAACAGGUGGUGCAUGGCU
Molecule: ribosomal RNA, 504 nt
Filed under: uncultured Glaciecola sp.
Lineage: Bacteria; Pseudomonadati; Pseudomonadota; Gammaproteobacteria; Alteromonadales; Alteromonadaceae
Description: bacterial SSU rRNA
Rfam family: Bacterial small subunit ribosomal RNA
Source: RNAcentral